UUGUUGGUAAGGUAAAAGCUUACCAAGGCUUCGAUCAGUAGCUGGUCUGAGAGGACGACCAGCCACACUGGGACUGAGACACGGCCCAGACUCCUACGGGAGGCAGCAGUGGGGAAUUUUGGACAAUGGGGGCAACCCUGAUCCAGCCAUGCCGCGUGAGUGAAGAAGGCCUUCGGGUUGUAAAGCUCUUUCAGCCGGAACGAAACGGUUACGGAUAACACCCGUGACUACUGACGGUACCGGAAGAAGAAGCACCGGCUAACUACGUGCCAGCAGCCGCGGUAAUACGUAGGGUGCGAGCGUUAAUCGGAAUUACUGGGCGUAAAGCGUGCGCAGGUGGUUUUGUAAGUCAGAUGUGAAAGCCCCGGGCUCAACCUGGGAACUGCGUUUGAAACUACAAGACUAGAGUGUGGCAGAGGGGGGUGGAAUUCCGCGUGUAGCAGUGAAAUGCGUAGAGAUGUGGAGGAACACCGAUGGCGAAGGCAGCCCCCUGGGUCAACACUGACGCUCAGGCACGAAAGCAUGGGGAGCAAACAGGAUUAGAUACCCUGGUAGUCCAUGCCCUAAACGAUGUCAACUAGUUGUCGGGCCUUUACGGGCUUGGUAACGUAGCUAACGCGUGAAGUUGACCGCCUGGGGAGUACGAUCGCAAGAUUAAAACUCAAAUGAAUUGACGGGGACCCGCACAAGCGGUGGAUUAUGUGGAUUAAUUCGAUGCGACGCGAAAAACCUUACCUACCCUUGACAUGUAUCGAAGCCCGCAGAAAAGCGGGGGUGCCCGAAAGGGAACGAUAACACAGGUGCUGCAUGGCUGUCGUCAGCUCGUGUCGUGAGAUGUUGGGUUAAGUCCCGCAACGAGCGCAACCCUUGUCAUUAAUUGCCAUCAUUUAGUUGGGCACUUUAAUGAGACUGCCGG
Molecule: ribosomal RNA, 916 nt
Filed under: uncultured bacterium
Lineage: Bacteria
Description: bacterial SSU rRNA
Rfam family: Bacterial small subunit ribosomal RNA
Source: RNAcentral